UGAGGAAUAUUGGUCAAUGGGGGCAACCCUGAACCAGCCAAGUCGCGUGAAGGAUGAAGGUCUUAUGGAUUGUAAACUUCUUUUAUACAGGAAUAAAUUGGGGGACGUGUCCCCUUUUGCAUGUACUGUAUGAAUAAGGAUCGGCUAACUCCGUGCCAGCAGCCGCGGUAAUACGGAGGAUCCGAGCGUUAUCCGGAUUUAUUGGGUUUAAAGGGUGCGCAGGCGGGAUGUUAAGUCGGCGGUGAAAUUUUGCAGCUCAACUGUAAAAGUGCCUUCGAUACUGGCCUCCUUGAGUGUGGAUGAAGUAGGCGGAAUUUGUGGUGUAGCGGUGAAAUGCUUAGAUAUCACGAGGAACUCCGAUUGCGCAGGCAGCUUACUAAGCCACAACUGACGCUCAUGCACGAAGGCGUGGGGA
RNAcentral lists this ribosomal RNA (415 nucleotides) under uncultured bacterium. RNAcentral's name for it is "bacterial SSU rRNA". It matches the Rfam family "Bacterial small subunit ribosomal RNA", at positions 355 to 767 of the family's 1533-position model. The record is from RNAcentral.